GUCUUUUCAGCCCCGGAUAGAGACAAAAUGAAGUCCUUGCUGAAUAUGAACCGCAACCAACCAAAUGGAUGCAGUGGAGCGGUGAAAAAAUAAAGAACGGAGGAGGUGCGAUAAGUCGGCAGAUACGUUGCUACCCGCGGCAAACCGGCACCGAAUGAAAUUCUGCAGAUACAAAAAUGUCAUCGCUUCUCGGAUGUGAAACGUGCAUUUCAUACCGAACCAAAGUGUCGGGAUCAUGGCCCCAUUUGUUCAAGGCAUGCUGGAUGUUAAAGGAGGAUGCCGGAUGAUGUCCCGUUCAGAUUUAAAUUGAUAGAACGCUUCGAACGGUUCAGUGUGAACACAGGUGAGGUUGUUUAGCUCUGAUCGACGGAGACAAAAUUGCCUACCGAACAAAAAGAUUAUUCUAUCUGAUGAAGAUUAGAAGAAGAGGAUUGUGUAAUUUAAGCAUAAUAGAAGAAUAAGGGAUCAUUCACUAAUUACGUAACCACAUAUGGGGGGAGGUCUAUCAUUUUCUUACUCUUCAUAUAAACAAAACAUAAUUUGUAUGGGAAAAAUCUUACAAGGGGGAGAGGGAGGUCCGAGAAACCAAGAAAAAAUGUAACCAACAAAAUUAUUGAACGACCCCUUAAUAUAAUGAAUAGUGCGGCAACUAGCUGUAUAAAGUGAGCGCCAAUGGAUGUUUAACCUUCGUAAAAUAAUGAAUGGUUAAGGUGAUGUUGUAGAACCAAACUAGAUUAAUAGAUUCACCUUUGCAUCUCCAAUCUCCUUUGUGCAUCAACAUCUUGCUGAUGUUUAUGCUCUAAUUCAUUUAAUUUUUGUCCGAUUUGUUUGAAAUUUUCAGACUUAAACCAAAAAUUAUCAUAGUUUCCGAGGAUGCUGGGUCAUUAGGCCGAAGGUCAUCAGGCCGAAGGCCAUUAGACCGAAUGGUCAUUAGGCCGAACGGUCAUUAGGCCGAACGGCCAUUAGGCCGAAUGGCCAUUAGGACGAAUGAGAACUGGGGAGUGGAAAGUGAGUAGUGCACAAUGAGGAAGAAGUAGAAAGGGAGAAGGAAAAAGGAGGAAGAAGUAAGAAGGAGGGAGAAGUAAGAAGGAACAAAGAAGAAGGAAGAAGGAAGAAAGAAGAAGGAAGAAGCAAGAAGGAGGAAGGAAGAAGGAAGAAGG
Armigeres subalbatus is the source of this 1160-nucleotide long non-coding RNA. RefSeq lists it as uncharacterized. The transcript is spliced from 3 exons. Lineage: Eukaryota; Metazoa; Arthropoda; Insecta; Diptera; Culicidae. The record is from RefSeq and is a predicted model, not a curated record.